CCCUUAGAUGUUCUGGGCCGCACGCGCGCUACACUGUUCGACGCAGCGAGUCUUAACCUUGACCGAAAGGUUCGGGUAAUCUUCAGCAAAGUCGAACGUGAUGGGGAUCGAUCAUUGCAAUUAUUGAUCGUGAACGAGGAAUUCCUAGUAAGUGCAAGUCAUCAGCUUGCGCUGAUUACGUCCCUGCCCUUUGUACACACCGCCCGUCGCUACUACCGAUUGAAUGGUUUAGUGAGAUCUCUGGAUUGACGCUGGCUAGGGGGCGACCCUUGGCCAGACUGUUGAGAAACUGCUCAAACUUGAUCAUUUAGAGGAAGUAAAAGUCGUAACA
RNAcentral lists this ribosomal RNA (331 nucleotides) under uncultured eukaryote. Its description in RNAcentral is "partial 18S ribosomal RNA". It matches the Rfam family "Eukaryotic small subunit ribosomal RNA", at positions 1470 to 1796 of the family's 1831-position model. The record is from RNAcentral.